This 440-nucleotide ribosomal RNA is filed under the name uncultured bacterium. RNAcentral describes it as "partial 16S ribosomal RNA". It matches the Rfam family "Bacterial small subunit ribosomal RNA", at positions 338 to 795 of the family's 1533-position model. The record is from RNAcentral.
CCUACGGGUGGCAGCAGUGGGGAAUAUUGCACAAUGGGGGAAACCCUGAUGCAGCGACGCCGCGUGAGUGAAGAAGUAUCCCGGUAUGUAAAGCUCUAUCAGCAGGGAAGAAAAUGACGGUACCUGAUUAUGACGCCCCGGCUAACUACGUGCCAACCGCCGCGGUAAUACGUAGGGGGCAAGCGUUAUCCGGAUUUACUGGGUGUAAAGGGGGCGUAGACGGGAGCACAAGUCUGGAGGGAAAUGCCGGGGCUUAACCCCGGAACUGCUUUUGAAACUGGGCAGCUAGAGAGAAGGAGAGGUAAGUGGAAUGCCUAGUGUAGCGGUGAAAUGCGUAGAUAUUAGGAGGAACACCAGUGGCGAAGGCAGCUUACUGGACUGUAACUGACGUUGAGGCACGAAAGCGUGGGGAGCGAACAGGAUUAGAUACCCCAGUAGUC